GAUGACACUUUUCGGAGCGUAAACUCCUUUUAUCAGGAAAGAAUAAUGACGGUACCUGAUGAAUAAGCACCGGCUAACUCCGUGCCAGCAGCCGCGGUAAUACGGGGGGUGCAAGCGUUACUCGGAAUCACUGGGCGUAAAGGACGCGUAGGCGGAUUAUCAAGUCUUUUGUGAAAUCUAGUGGCUUAACCACUAAACUGCUUAGGAAACUGAUAGUCUAGAGUAGGGGAGAGGUAGAUGGAAUUCUUGGUGUAGGGGUAAAAUCCGUAGAGAUCAAGAAGAAUACCCAUUGCGAAAGCGAUCUGCUGGAACCUAACUGACGCUGAGGCGUGAAAGCGUGGGUAGCAAACAGGAUUAGAUACCCUGGUAGUCCACGCCCUAAACGAUGUAUACUAGUUGUUGCUUUGCUAGUCAAGGCAGUAAUGCAGCUAACGCAUUAAGUAUACCGCCUGGGGAGUACGGUCGCAAGAUUAAAACUCAAAGGAAUAGACGGGGACCCGCACAAGCGGUGGAGCAUGUGGUUUAAUUCGAAGAUACGCGAAGAACCUUACCUGGACUUGACAUCCUAAAAACAUCUAAGAGAUUAGAAAGUGCUAGUUUACUAGAAUUUAGUGACAGGUGCUGCACGGCUGUCGUCAGCUCGUGUCGUGAGAUGUUGGGUUAAGUCCCGCAACGAGCGCAACCCACGUGUUUAGUUGCUAACAGCUCGGCUGAGCACUCUAAACAGACUGCCUUCGUAAGGAGGAGGAAGGUGUGGACGACGUCAAGUCAUCAUGGCCCUUAUGUCCAGGGCGACACACGUG
RNAcentral lists this ribosomal RNA (803 nucleotides) under uncultured Bacteroides sp. RNAcentral's name for it is "bacterial SSU rRNA". It matches the Rfam family "Bacterial small subunit ribosomal RNA", at positions 407 to 1224 of the family's 1533-position model. The record is from RNAcentral. Lineage: Bacteria; Pseudomonadati; Bacteroidota; Bacteroidia; Bacteroidales; Bacteroidaceae.